RNAcentral lists this long non-coding RNA (1441 nucleotides) under Marmota monax (woodchuck). The record is from RNAcentral. Lineage: Eukaryota; Metazoa; Chordata; Mammalia; Rodentia; Sciuridae.
GACCAGAAUGGGGACCAACACGACUACCUGUGUGGCUCAGGAACAAGGGCCCCAUGGGUGGUGGAUGCUGCAGCUGAGACGACAUCUCUCAGAAGGCAAGCAAUAUUACUGAGGAUGAUUUCAGACACAUGUAACAGAAAGUUCCAUUCAACUGGGUUUAAAUAAUUUGGAAAUUUAUUGGUUCACUGGGUCACUGAGGACGAGGCUGGGCUUCCACCCAAUUUAAUCCAGGGACUCUGGUGGAUUUUCCCUUGAUUUUCUUAGCACUGCUUUUCCAGCUCUGCUCGUCUCUGGUGUCAGCUUCAAGAACUGAGGCAAUAGCUGCUCUGGGCCCAUGACCUGGGCCCUCCAGAAUCCAGAAGAAAAGAUACCGUCAUUUCUUACACUUCCUUCCAAGACAAGGAAACAUUUUUAUUUGAUUUAUUUAUUUUUGUGCGGUGCUGAGAUCAAACCCAGUGCCUCAUGCAUGCUAGGCAAGGGCUCUACCACUGAGCCACAACCCCAGCAGCAAAAAAAAAAAAAAAAAAAGUUGUUACAAGGAGAAAGUCUCAUUUGCCCGCUCUGAGCCAUGUGCUUAUUCUAGAAACAGUCCCCAUCCUUGGGAGAAUACCAUGUUUGACUUAUACAAAUCAGGGCUCUUUCUUGACUAGAGUCAGUUCUCCCAACUGCAUGGCUACUACAAAAUAAGAAGAGAUGGAAUGGUGUUGAAAAGAUGAUAACAGCUCUUCCACUUUAGCUGUCCAAUAGUCACACACAUCCUCCAUGCCAUGUUACAUACAACUUUAGAAAUGCCUGUGCCUAAGCCAGGCAUGGUGGUACACACCUAUAAUUCCUGGGAGGCUGAAGUAGGAGGAUUGUGAGUCUGAGGCCAGCCUCAGCAACUCAGUGAGACCCUGUCUCAAAAUAAAAAAAAUGAAAUAUGGGCUGGGAUGUAGUUCAGUAGCAGAGCACCCCUGGGUUCAAUACCCAGGACUGCCAAAAAAAAAAAAAAAAGUCAAUGCCUAAUACGAUGUACUCAUUUCCUUCUAAAAAUGUAGUACCUAAACACCCCAUUUUAUAUGCAAGUUCAGGACCUCUGGGAGAGGUACAAGCCUUGACACUAAGUCAAUUAUUUACUUGCACCUGGGUUUAAAAGAAACCAGGGGUAGGAGAGGUGAGGUGGUUGUUCCCUGCUCUACGAGCUGGGUAAGUUCUAAGCCUCAAUUUCUUCUUGAAUUUUUUAUUAAUUAAUUAAUUUUAAUUAGGUAUAUAUGACAGCAGAAUGCAUUUUGAUUCGUUGUACACAAUUGCAGCAUAACAUUUCAUUUCUCUGGUUUUACAUGAUGUAGCAUCACACCAUAUGGGCAGUCAUACAUGUACCUAGGGUUAAUGAUGUCCAUCUCAUUCCACCAUCUUUCCUGCCCCCAAGCCCUCUCCUCUUGUAUUUAAUGAGAACUGUAAU